This 505-nucleotide ribosomal RNA is filed under the name uncultured bacterium. RNAcentral's name for it is "bacterial SSU rRNA". It matches the Rfam family "Bacterial small subunit ribosomal RNA", at positions 29 to 507 of the family's 1533-position model. The record is from RNAcentral.
AACGAACGCUGGCGGCGUGCUUAAGACAUGCAAGUCGUGCGAGAAAGUCACCUUCGGGUGGCGAGUAGAGCGGCGCACGGGUGAGUAACGCGUGGGUAAUCUGCCUUUAGGUUUGGGAUAACUCCGGGAAACUGGUGCUAAUACCGGAUAAGACCACGACGUCUUCGGGCGAUGUGGAAAAAGAUGGCCUCUCCUUGGAAGCUAUCGCCUAUUGAUGAGCCCGCGUCCCAUUAGCUUGUUGGUGAGGUAACGGCUCACCAAGGCGUCGAUGGGUAGCUGGUCUGAGAGGAUGAUCAGCCACACUGGAACUGAGACACGGUCCAGACUCCUACGGGAGGCAGCAGUCGGGAAUUUUGGGCAAUGGGGGAAACCCUGACCCAGCAACGCCGCGUGAGGGAUGAAGGCCUUCGGGUCGUAAACCUCUGUCAGGAGGGAAGAACGGGCCGCAGUCGAAUAGGCUGCGGUUUUGACGGUACCUCCAAAGGAAGGACCGGCUAACUCCGUG